This is a non-coding RNA of Camelina sativa (false flax), 194 nucleotides long. Lineage: Eukaryota; Viridiplantae; Streptophyta; Magnoliopsida; Brassicales; Brassicaceae. The record is from RefSeq and is a predicted model, not a curated record.
CCUAAAGACACCCCUGAGCUUCGUGACAAGCUGAACAAGACGAUAUUACAUAUCGGACAGCUUGUGAAAGAUACGUCAGCUAAACUUAAACAAGCUAGGGAAACUGAUCAUCAGAGUGGUGUUGAUCAAAGGAAGAAGAUUGUGGAUGCUAAGCUUGCAAAAGACUUUCAAGCUGUAUUGCAAGAGUUUCUCAA